Molecule: long non-coding RNA, 280 nt
Filed under: Panax ginseng (ginseng)
Lineage: Eukaryota; Viridiplantae; Streptophyta; Magnoliopsida; Apiales; Araliaceae
Description: long non-coding RNA (PGIN_LNC014756)
Source: RNAcentral
AUGGCAGAGAUGUUUCCGACCGUUUCUUCGGGACCUUGGGGUUUUCUUCGUUGCCGUUGCUGUCGUCAAGAAUCAUCGUCGGUGGCAGUGGGUCGAGAAUCAUCGGCUGCUGUCGCCGUUGCUGUCGUUGUUAGAGAAUCGCCGUUGUAUCGCUGUUGGAGAAUCGCCGGUGGCAGUGGGUCGUUGGGACCUUGGUUUGUUGAGGUUCUUCUUCUUUGUAGAAAUCGAUGGGUUGAGAUUUAGAUUGAAAAGGGUUUUGAACAGGUAGAAGAGGAAGAAG